Molecule: long non-coding RNA, 2769 nt
Organism: Ictalurus punctatus (channel catfish)
Lineage: Eukaryota; Metazoa; Chordata; Actinopteri; Siluriformes; Ictaluridae
Exons: 3
Source: RefSeq, a predicted model, not a curated record
UAUAUAAAUAUAAAUAUUGUGGCGACAGGCCAGUGGCCGGCGCACAGGAAACCAAGAUCGCUCAAUUCUAAUGGCUAAGUUCCCUACACUGGUGGAGGAUGCGGGCAUGAGCGCAGACACACCCACGUAAAUACUUAAAAGAAAAACCACACGUUAAAAUUUUUUUUUUCAAUUAUAAUUUGAGUGGAUAGACAGAUGGACACAGGGAACAUGGACCCCACGCUACAGCAUCUCAUGGAGACUAGCCUCCAGCAGCAGGCCACAACACAGCAGUUAGCCCAAAGCCUGAGAGUUGCUACCCAGGAGCUACUGGCCCUAAGAGCGGCCCCGCCAUUCCGGGACUGUGGCCGAGAAGCCCAGCACCUUCUCACCCGCCUGACCCCAGAAGAUGACAUCGAGACCUACCUCGAGACCUUCGAACGGGUCGCCCACCAAGAAGGCUGGGGCAUGGAAGCCUGACCGCGCAUCCUUGGCCCGUUGCUCUCCAGAGAAGCCAGCACCGCAUACUAUGCCCUCUCUCCAGAGGACGUGGCGGACUACGGAGAGGUAAAGAAAGAGAUCUUGGCAUGGUAUGGCAGAACUUCCUACCCAGCGGCAACGGACUUCCAUCGGUGGAGCUACCAGCCAGAGGCCCAGCCCCGUGGUCAAAUGAACACCCUCCUGCGACUCACCAAAUGGUGGCUCCGCCCUGACCAAUGCACCGCUGCCGAGGUGGCAGAAAAGGUGGCCAUGGACCGAUUCCUGAGAGCUCUGCCGUCCCCAGAGUGCUGAGCCGUGGGAAUACGUGCGCCCGGAACCCCCAAGGAGCUGCUAACUGCCCUAGAACUCGCCCUGCCCCUCUUGGAGUUCGGCCGGGAUGGGCAGCAACCUCCUAAGCCCGCCCGGAAGGGGGCCGCCACAUCGGCCCAACCGCCAGCGUGCUGCCGAAGGAAAAGAGGUCAUCCGAAAUCGCUCCGCCUACGGGACUACCCAGGAGGAGUCCAGGCCGAUGAAACUGGAUCGGGGACGCUGUAGGAGGGUCAAGACUCCGGGCCUGCCAGAGGGGGCCCCCACACUCCAGACCUGCCGAAACCAGUCCAGCGAAGGAAGGAGGCCCCAGCCCAGCUGGCCUACAUGGCCUGGGGCAAUAAGAACGCUGGCCAAAGGUAAGUCACACACACCCCCUAGCCCACUCUCUUCUGUAUUUCAACAGGUGAGCUGGCAAGGGAACUUCGGCCGGGAGCAGAAAGAGGACGACCGCCUGAAGCGGUCAGAGGAGGCCUGCUAUACCACCGAGAAGAUUGACUGGGUAACCCGUAUAGUUCAGGAGCACAUGCGAGCCGCUCAGGAAAAACAGAAAAGGAUGUACAACCGUCCCACGCAGCCUCGGGAGUUCCAAAGGGCGAUCGGGUGCUCCUAUUAGUGCCCAGUAGCUCCUGUAAGUUCCUGGCCCGGUGGCAAGGCCUGUACACAGUCCUUGAGCGAAAAGGCACAGUAAACUACCGCCUGCAACAGCAGAGGAAAAACUCUACCACGUGAAUCUGCUGAAGAAGUGGGUAGAACCGGCGCCGGUAGUAUCGGCAUAUGCGGCUCUGGACACAGAUCACGGCAAGGGAAUCACGCAGCUGGUCCACCACAAGAUCAAGACCCGUCCAGGAGUAGUGGCAAGACAGCGGCCCUACCGUGUCCCAGAGGCCCGGCCCAAGGCUGUCGAGGAAGAAGUUAGCCGAAUGCUGCAGGACCACAUCAUAGCGGAGUCCAACAGCCCCUGGUCCAGCCCCAUUGUCAUUGUGCUGAAGCCGGACGGAAGUAUGCGACUUUGUAAUGACUUCCGUAAGCUGAACCAGGUGUCCGAGUUCGACAGCUAUCCCCUUCCCGAGUGGACGACCUCGUGGAGCAACUGGGGAGGGCCCGGAUCAUAUCUACCCUGGACCCUAAACCUAACCCUAAUCCUAACGAAAGGCUACUGGCAAGUCGUGCUGGCACCGGCUACACGGGGUGCCCGCAACGUUCCAGCAGCUGAUGGACAUUGUCCUGCGACCCCACUGUAUGUUCGCGGCCGCCUACCUGGAUGACAUAGUCAUCCACUCCUCCACUUGGUCAGACUACCUGUUCCACCUGGGGGAGGUUCUGAAGGAACUCCGGAAGGCCGGGCUGACAGCCAACCCCAAGAAAUGCCACCUAGGGCUGACUGAGGCACAGUACCUGGGCUACCAUAUUGGCCGGGGUAUGCUGAAGCCACAGGCGAAGGAAAUCGAGGCAGUGAAGCACUACCCCCGACCCACAUCAAAGAAACAGCUUUUCCCCUCUCAGACCUUAUGAAGAAGGGUUAGCCGGACCGGGUGAAAUAGUCUGCGGAGGCAGAGCAGGCGUUCCAAGCCCUAAAGGAGGCCCUCACCAGCGCCUCAGUGCUUUGCAACCCAGACUUCGCCCACUUAUUCACCAUACACACAGAUGCCUCUGAGACCGGGCUGGGCGCCGUUCUCUCGCAGACCUUCGACGGAGAGGAACACCCGGUCCUCUACAUCAGUCGAAAGUUGUCCCCAGCUGAGAGGAAGUAUGCGGCCGUGGAAAGAGAGGCCCUGGCAAUAAAGUGGGCCAUCGAAGAGCUCCGAUACUACCUGGCUGGUCGGCACUUUGUCCUGGUGACAGACCACGCCCCACUGCAGUGGAUGGCCAAGGCCAAGGACACCAAUGCCAGGGUAACCCGAUGGUUCCUCUUGUUGCAGGAUUUCUCUUUCCAGGUCCAGCACCGGGCGGGGACCCACCAUGGGAAUACAGAUGGCCUCU